Molecule: long non-coding RNA, 1429 nt
Filed under: Vitis vinifera (wine grape)
Lineage: Eukaryota; Viridiplantae; Streptophyta; Magnoliopsida; Vitales; Vitaceae
Description: long non-coding RNA (VVIN_LNC002981)
Source: RNAcentral
AGCAGUAUGUUGGCUACUCUGAAAUGUGAAACCUACAAGGGGUUUUAGUCUCCUAUACAAGAAAAAUAAGGCAUGCAUGGUUAGUGGUUACUAUAAAGCUGAUUAUGAUGGUACUGAUCAUGAUACACAAAGGUCAACCAUUGGUCAUAUGUUUCACUUUGAUUCAACUACAAUCUCAGGCAACAUAUAUACAUCAUCUUUGUCAUAAAAAAUGACAGAGUAUGGUGCAUCAACAAUGGUAGCUCAUCAAGAAAGUGUGUGAUCAGUACACUUACAAUGAGGGAUCUAUACCAACCAGUAGAUUGUUCUGCAAUAAAUUAAAUAAAUGGCCAGAAAUCCCGCUUUGAAAACAAAGCAUAUUGAAGUGCACUAUGACUUUUUAGGAGAAAAAGUUUCUUCAUUGAGAGGUAAAGAUGCUGACAGUAAAGAUGGAUGAAUAAUUAGCAAACUCAUUCACGGAAGGCAAGGUAGUGCAAAGCUAAAAAAUUCUAACAACUUAGGAUGACUUACAAAGCUAGUUAAAAGAAAAGGAAAGUUUUGAGCGGGGGAAAAUUGAGAUAUCAACAGUAACUUUUAGAAUAGAGCACGGCUCGAAGAUGGCCACUACCACAGCUAUUGUCUGUAUCGAUCAUCCCAAUAACUGCAAAUUAGCGGCCUCACCAACCAAGCCUUCACUGUUCUUCAUCAAUUGUCUUGAAGACCGAGCAGAUGUGUUCGUCCACUGAUAUUCAUCUCCAAUAUUAAUAAAGAAGCUUGGAGCUCACAGAGGCGACAACCCCACUUCCCCUUCACAUCUAUAAAAAAGGAGCUUUCCUCCCAUUCAUAUCCAUCUCUCUCCGAUUUCCAUGUGAGCUGAAAUAGAGGGGCCGAUGAGAGGGGGGAGAUCGUGAGGGAAGGGAGAAAGGUUUAGGGCUUGAAUAUCGAGGUCCUGUUUGGUUAUGUGUUUUGAGUGGGCUUGUGCUUGUUGUAGCCUAUCGGGGUUUUGGGCAUGCUUUGUGUUUUAUUUUUUGGUGCCUUUUUUACUGCCUUCUUGGUCGUGCAUCUCUAUCUCUCUCUCUCUCUCUCUCUCUCUCUCUCUCUCUCUCUCUCUCUCUCUUUCUCUCUCUCAUUUGAUGUAUGUAGUUUUCUUGGUCAUGGAUCUCUGUCUGUCUCUCUCUCUCUUGUAUUUGAUAUAUGUGGUUUGCCUGUGGAAAAUAUUAUUUCAUUUUACCAUUUCUGUGUGAAUUGUGGUUGCCUUGAUCAUAUUCUGAGAGUUUUGUUUACAAUUUCUCUGUGACUUGUUGGAGUUAAAUUGAAAGAAUAUUCACUACGCAUACUGCCUUGUAUGUUUGUUUCCAAUUGUAUAGAAUUAGCCUAAUUGCCAGCAUGCUAAAACUUCCAAUUUUAGCUCACUUUCCCUACCUUAAUAUAUAAAGGAAAAAACAUGCUU